AUGGACCUGGGCGGGGUGCUGAUGGCGGCCGCGGACGCGGGGGUGGGCGGCGGGGAGCUCGGCAUGCUCGGAUCUAGGCUGCUCAAGCACGGGAGGGGCAAUGCCGCGGCGGCGGAGGCCGACGAGCGUCACGAGCACGGGUGGGGCGGCGGCAGGCCGGCCGCCAAGCAGGCCCGGGUCGCCGGGGACAGCGACGCCGUGUCCGAGGCCGUCAAGGCGGCCGCGCCAUACCUGCUGGGCACCUGCAGCCCCGGGCACGGCCGGGAGAAGAUGCUCAGCUUCUCCUCCUCGCAGCAGCCGCCCUCCUGCCCCUCCGCCGCCGCCGCCGCUCAGGCCGCGCUGCCGCUCUACUACGGCACGCCCGCUUCUUGCUUAGGGUUGAGCUCGGUGAGCUUGAGCGCCAGCAUCCAGGGCGCCAUGGCCAGGGUGAGGGGGCCCUUCACGCCGUCGCAGUGGAUGGAGCUGGAGCACCAGGCCCUGAUCUACAAGUACCUGGCGGCCAACAUCGCCGUGCCGCACAGCCUCCUCGUCCCCAUCCGCCGGAGCGUCACCUCGCUCUACCCGUCCGCCUACUUUGGCUCCUCCACAUUGGGGUGGGGGCCUUUCCAGCUGGGCUACUCCGGGAGCGCGGACCUGGAGCCCGGGCGGUGCCGCCGGACGGACGGCAAGAAGUGGCGGUGCUCCAGGGACGCCGUCGCUGACCAGAAGUACUGCGAGCGGCAUAUGAACCGGGGACGCCAUCGUUCAAGAAAGCAUGUGGAAGGCCAGCCUGGCCAUGCCGCGAAAGCGAUGCCUGCGACGGUGGCGGCUGCUGCCGCCCAGCCCGGUGCUCUCGCCACCGGGGGCGGCGGCGGAGCCACCGCCGGCGCCGCCAUCUGCCACGAGCAGCAGCCGUUGAAGAGCUACUCCGCCAGCACCAUUGAUCCUUGUUCACUGCAAUACAACAGGGAAAUGGCGAGCAAGCAGCAACACGAGUGCGAGCAAGUGCAGGACUCGGACACCCUCUCGAUGCUGACCUCCAUGAGCGCGAGGAACACCAACACGGGCAGCAUGUUCCCGUUCUCAAAGGAACAUCAUAACCACAAUCCUUUCGAGGUGACGAGCUCGAGGCCGGACUACGGGCUGGUUUCCUCCGACUCGCUGAUGAGCUCCCCCCACAGCUCCCUGGAGAACGUCAACCUGCUCACCUCGCAGCGAGCGCUCUCGAGCGAGCAGCAGAGCUCGCUCUCCCUGCAGCACUUCGCGGACUGGCCGAGGACGCCGUCGCAGCAGGGGCAGGGAGGGGGAGGCCUCUCAUGGCCGGACGCCGAGAACAUGCAGCUGGCUCAUCAGCGGACCCAGCAGCUCUCGGUGUCCGCCGCUCCGAUGGCGUCCUCCGACCUGUCGUCGGCCUCCACGUCCCCCAUCCACGAGAAGCUCAUGCUGUCGCCCCUCAAGCUGAGCCGCGAGUACAGCCCCAUCGGCCUCAGCGUCGCGGCCACGGCGGCAGCGGCGGCGAAGGACGAGGGGGAGGCGAACUGGAUGCCCAUGUUCCGCGACUCGUCCAUGGGCGGGCCACUGGGGGAGGCUCUGAACAAGAACAAUGGCGGCAACAUGGAGGCCAAGAACUACCUGUCGGCGUCGCUGAACCUCAUGACGGACGCCUGGGACUCGAGCCCGCUGGAGUCGUCGCCGGUGGGGGUCCUGCAGAGGACCGCCUUCGGGUCGGUGUCCAGCAGCACCGGCAGCAGCCCCAGGCAGGAGUACCACGGCGUGUAUGAUGGUAAUCCGCGGGAUGAUCUCGGCUCCAUCGUCGUGAAUCACCCCAGCAUCCGCCUCAUGUGA
Molecule: ribosomal RNA, 1824 nt
Filed under: Triticum aestivum (bread wheat)
Lineage: Eukaryota; Viridiplantae; Streptophyta; Magnoliopsida; Poales; Poaceae
Description: partial small subunit ribosomal RNA
Source: RNAcentral